CGUGUGUGUCACGUUCUUUAACGUUCUGCCUGGAAACAAAGAUGCUGUGCCGCCAAAUCCCCUCACGAAAGAAGAAAGCCAUAGUGUUUACAACUGUGAAGACAACCACUUAUCAGGAUCAGCUAAACACUGGAGCUUCAAAGAUUUGUGAAUAAGGCUGCAUUUAAUUCUCAAGGAUAAAUGGUGGUGCCAUAGUGGUUGAAUGAGUGAAUGACCACGCAGGACACCUGGGAGUGGAGAAGACCCUGGGCUUGGCCCAUCAAAGUUUCUUUUGGCCAGGAUUGGCACAAAGAGUGGAUAAGUGGUGCCUUCAGUGUGUUCAAUGCAACUUGCAUAAGACUCCAGCCCAUAAAGAGCUAAUACACCCCAAAGGCUCUUUUAAGAGCUACAGCACUGAGCAUAUUUGCUUUUUUUCCACAAAAUUUAAUUGGAUUGAUUCGUUUGGAAGUAUUUGAAAAUACAGGUCCUUCUCAAAACAACGAGAAGAGGUGACUGGACCCUGAGGAAGAUUGUGGAGAAGGACCGAUUCCAGACCUUGGGGGACCCUGCGG
This is a long non-coding RNA of Cyprinus carpio (common carp), 551 nucleotides long. RefSeq lists it as uncharacterized. The record is from RefSeq and is a predicted model, not a curated record. NCBI's taxonomy places the organism in Eukaryota, Metazoa, Chordata, Actinopteri, Cypriniformes, Cyprinidae. The transcript has 4 exons.